This 443-nucleotide ribosomal RNA is filed under the name uncultured bacterium. Its description in RNAcentral is "partial 16S ribosomal RNA". It matches the Rfam family "Bacterial small subunit ribosomal RNA", at positions 338 to 795 of the family's 1533-position model. The record is from RNAcentral.
CCUACGGGAGGCAGCAGUGGGGAAUAUUGGGCAAUGGGCGCAAGCCUGACCCAGCAACGCCGCGUGAAGGAAGAAGGCUUUCGGGUUGUAAACUUCUUUUCUCAGGGACGAAGCAAGUGACGGUACCUGAGGAAUAAGCCACGGCUAACUACGUGCCAGCAGCCGCGGUAAUACGUAGGUGGCAAGCGUUAACCGGAUUUACUGGGUGUAAAGGGCGUGUAGGCGGGGACGCAAGGCAGAUGUGAAAACCACGGGCUCAACCUGUGGCGUGCAUUUGAAACGGUGUUUCUUGAGUACUCGAGAGGCAGACGGAAUGCGUAGUGUAGCGGUGAAAUGCGUAGAUAUUAGGAGGAACACCAGUGGCGAAGGCAGUCUGCGGGACAGCAACUGACGCUGAGGCGCGAAAGCGUGGGGAGCAAACAGGAUUAGAUACCCCUGUAGUC